This 382-nucleotide ribosomal RNA is filed under the name uncultured eukaryote. Its description in RNAcentral is "partial 18S ribosomal RNA". It matches the Rfam family "Eukaryotic small subunit ribosomal RNA", at positions 592 to 976 of the family's 1831-position model. The record is from RNAcentral.
UGUAAGCGUAUACCAAAGUUGUUGCAGUUAAAACGCUCGUAGUCGGAAUUUGGCAGUUCCGGAUGUGUGCACGUCGUGUGCGCACUUCGCGGGGAUUGCUUUUGUGGUCUUGCGUAGGAUGAGGCACUUUUAUUAGUGAACGUCCUCACGCAACCACUUUUUACUGUGAGAAAAUCAGAGUGCUCAAAGCAGGCAUUUGCCGUGAAUGUAUUAGCAUGGAAUAAUAGAAUAGGACUUGGUUCUAUUUUGUUGGUUUGUUGGGACUGAGUAAUGAUUAAGAGGGACAGUUGGGGGCAUUUGUAUUUCGGUGUUAGAGGUGAAAUUCUUAGAUUACCGAAAGACAAACUGCUGCGAAAGCGUCUGCCAAGGAUGUUUUCAUUGA